AGGAAGUUAGCUUUCUGUUACUGUAACAAAUACCUGAGAUACUCAGUUUAUAAAGAGAAAGGAUUUACUGUGGCUCACAGUUUUAGAGGUUACAGUCUGUGAUUAGUUGGUCCCAUUCCCUUUGGGCCUGUGGCAAGGCAGUACAUCAUGGCAGGACUGUGGCUGAAGUCUGUUCACCUUAAGGCUGGGUAUGAGAGAAAGAGAAAAGAUCUGGUCCCCCAAAUCCUCUUCAAGAGCACACCCCCAGUCAUUUAAAACUUCUCAUUAGACCCCACCUCUUACAGGUUCUACUACCUCCUAGUAGUGUCAAGCUUGGGAAUAAGCCUUCAACACACAGAUAUUGGGGGACAUUCCAAAUCCAAACUACACAGAAAGUGAUAGAAGCAAGGCAGAGAAGGAAAUAACACCAAGCAGAAAUAAUUUCUGGCAAAAGUUCCACAGAAGCCUUGGAAAACCUUAGAAAUCUCCCUGCUUCAGACAGUGCAGCACCACAAGAUGGUGAACUUUUGUCAGCCUGCAUCCUUGAAUUAUUUCCUUCUGACCUAUUGUCCUGUUUACCUACUUCAAAAGAUGAAAGUGCUGACCUGCUUCAUAGAAAUGUUGUUUAAUUAAUACAAGCCCUUCUCAAACAUGAAGAACUAGUACAACUUCUUUGGGAGCUAUGCUGCUAAAAGACAACAUGGGUUUAAAUCUUUAGACUGGAAUAAAUCUAAAAGAGGACAUAAUCGUUGGCUUUCUUCCACUAGUAUUAAAGGACUUUAUAGAUCUUUAAUGAUCUCAGAUGAAAGAAAAUGGAAAAUGUAUGAUCAUUCCAUGACAAGGUGGAAACAUUUCACAGCAGACAGGAACUUUUUCAGUUACCAGCAUUGAAACAGAAUUCCAGGAAUAAGUACUCAGAUG
Molecule: long non-coding RNA, 900 nt
Filed under: Heterocephalus glaber (naked mole-rat)
Lineage: Eukaryota; Metazoa; Chordata; Mammalia; Rodentia; Bathyergidae
Description: lncRNA (ENSHGLG00000038357.1)
Source: RNAcentral